This 612-nucleotide transfer RNA is filed under the name uncultured Prochlorococcus sp. Its description in RNAcentral is "partial contains 16S ribosomal RNA, 16S-23S ribosomal RNA intergenic spacer, and 23S ribosomal RNA". The stretch from base 221 to 293 matches the Rfam family "tRNA". Lineage: Bacteria; Bacillati; Cyanobacteriota; Cyanophyceae; Synechococcales; Prochlorococcaceae. The record is from RNAcentral.
UGGAUCACCUCCUAACAGGGAGACAACAAAAUGUUUUGAUAUAAAUUUUGUCACCUUAGGUCGAUCGGUAUCUCAGAUUUUCAUAAUUGAAAAUUUCAGUUUCUAAGUUUUUUCUAGGUCACCCAUAUUUUCCUGGGCCAUUAGCUCAGGUGGUUAGAGCGCACCCCUGAUAAGGGUGAGGUCCCUGGUUCAAGUCCAGGAUGGCCCAUAUCUCUAAAUUGGGGGUAUAGCUCAGUUGGUAGAGCGCCUGCUUUGCAAGCAGGAUGUCAGCGGUUCGAGUCCGCUUACCUCCACUGAUUACCACCUUUACAAUGAGAAGGAAUUUUUGGGAUCGACUUUCUGGCAAUGAAUCUAGCUUCCUAUUAUUUAAUAACUAAUUUAUUUAAUAAGACGCUGGACUCAAUGAAUUUUUUAAUUCUUUGUUUUCAGAGAACCUUGACAACUGCAUAGAUUUUUUUUCAAGACAAUAAGCAUCUUUAAUGAUGCAGAUUUAUUAUUUGUGCUUAAUGCAUUAAUAACAAUUCUAUUGAGCUGAUGCUUCAAUUUUUGAAGUUAUUGGUCAAGCUACAAAGGGCUCACGGAGGAUACCUAGGCACACAGAGGCGAUGAAGG